UUUAAAGGAUAAAAGACA
Molecule: transfer RNA, 18 nt
Filed under: Iguana iguana (Common green iguana)
Lineage: Eukaryota; Metazoa; Chordata; Lepidosauria; Squamata; Iguanidae
Description: partial tRNA-Leu
Source: RNAcentral